This 127-nucleotide small RNA is filed under the name Marmota monax (woodchuck). Lineage: Eukaryota; Metazoa; Chordata; Mammalia; Rodentia; Sciuridae. The record is from RNAcentral.
GCCGGGUGCAGUGGUGCAUGCCUAUAAUCCCAGCAGCUUGGGAGGCUGAGGCAGGAGGAUCACAAGUUCAAAGCCAAACUCAGAAAUUUAGUGAGGCUCUAAGCAACUUAGUGAGACCCUGUCUCUA